RNAcentral lists this ribosomal RNA (250 nucleotides) under Russula sp. RNAcentral's name for it is "partial large subunit ribosomal RNA". Lineage: Eukaryota; Fungi; Basidiomycota; Agaricomycetes; Russulales; Russulaceae. The record is from RNAcentral.
AAACGCUUAAAGUCAGUCGCGUCGAUCGAGACUCAGCCUUGCCUCGGCUUGGUGUACUUCUCGGCUUGACGGGUCAGCAUCAAUUUUGAGCCUUGGAUAAUGGCAGGGGAAAGGUAGCACCUUUAUAGGUGUGUUAUAGUCCUCUGUCGCAUACAAGGGUCAGGAUUGAGGAACUCAGCAUGCACCUUUGGGUGUCGGGGCCUUGGCCCACGCAACGUGCUUAGGAUGUUGGCAUAAUGGCUUUAAACGA